GUGCCAGCCGCCGCGGUAAUACCGGCAGCCCAAGUGAUGGCCGCUGUUAUUGGGCCUAAAGCGUCCGUAGCUGGCCGCACAAGUCCGUCGGGAAAUCCGCCCGCUCAACGGGCGGCCGUCCGGCGGAAACUGCGUGGCUUGGGACCGGGAGGCCUGAAGGGUACGAUCGGGGUAGGAGUGAAAUCCCAUAAUCCCGCACGGACCGCCGAUGGCGAAAGCACCUCAGGAGAACGGAUCCGACAGUGAGGGACGAAAGCCAGGGUCUCCAACCGGAUUAGAUACCCGUGUAGUCC
This 293-nucleotide ribosomal RNA is filed under the name uncultured bacterium. Its description in RNAcentral is "partial 16S ribosomal RNA". It matches the Rfam family "Archaeal small subunit ribosomal RNA", at positions 455 to 747 of the family's 1478-position model. The record is from RNAcentral.